This 446-nucleotide ribosomal RNA is filed under the name uncultured bacterium. RNAcentral's name for it is "partial 16S ribosomal RNA". It matches the Rfam family "Bacterial small subunit ribosomal RNA", at positions 338 to 795 of the family's 1533-position model. The record is from RNAcentral.
UCUACGGGUGGCAGCAGUCGAGAAUCUUUCACAAUGGGCGAAACCCUGAUGGUGCGACGCCGCGUGGGGGAUUGAAGGUCUUCGGAUUGUAAACCCCUGUCAUGUGGGAGCAAAUUAUAAAAAUAGUACCAUAAGAGGAAGCGACGGCUAACUCUGUGCCAGCAGCCGCGGUAAUACAGCGGUCGAAAGCGUUGUUCGGAAACAUGGGGCAUAAAGCGUGCGAUGGCUGUUACUUAAGUCGUGUGUGAAAGGGGGGGGAUAAACCUGCGGAUUGCAAAUGAGACUGGGAGACUAGAGUAAUGGAGGGGUAACUGGAAUUCUCGGUGUAGGAGUGAAAUGCGUAGAUAUCGAGAGGAACACUCGUGGCGAAGGCAGGUUCCUGGACAUUAACUGACGCUGAGGCACGAAGGCGAGGGGAGCGAACGGGAUUAGAUACCCUAGUAGUC